GACGAACGCUGGCUGCGUGCUUAACACAUGCAAGUCGAACGCUGAAACCCUGGUGCUUGCACCGGGGUGGAUGAGUGGCGAACGGGUGAGUAACACGUGAGUAACCUGCCCCCGACUUCGGGAUAAGCCCGGGAAACUGGGUCUAAUACCGGAUAUGAGCGCCCCUCGCAUGAGGGAUGCUGGAAAGUCUUUUCGGUUGGGGAUGGGCUCGCGGCCUAUGAGUUUGUUGGUGAGGUAAUGGCUCACCAAGACGACGACGGGGAGCCGGCCUGGGAGGGCGAACGGCCACACUGGGACUGAGACACGGCGCAGACUCCUACGGGAGGCAGCAGUGGGGAAUAUUGCACAAUGGGGGAAACCCUGAUGCAGCGACGCAGCGUGCGGGAUGACGGCCUUCGGGUUGUAAACCGCUUUCAGCAGGGAAGAAGCCCCUUGGGGUGACGGUACCUGCAGAAGAAGUACCGGCUAACUACGUGCCAGCCGCCGCCGUAA
RNAcentral lists this ribosomal RNA (492 nucleotides) under uncultured bacterium. RNAcentral's name for it is "partial 16S ribosomal RNA". It matches the Rfam family "Bacterial small subunit ribosomal RNA", at positions 28 to 523 of the family's 1533-position model. The record is from RNAcentral.